AUCCUUCACCUGUUGCCUGGCUAGAGUUGUCUGGCUCCACUUUGAGCUCUUGCAGAACCAGCCCUUUUUCGUGUGGUCCAGGAAAGUCCAUGCCUGGCACCACCUCCUCCUCUAGUGACUCCACGUAGAAGAGAGUCCUGGCUGGCUGCUGAGUGCCCUGCCCAGGAGCCCCUUGCUGCAGCCUCGUGGCAACUGGAAGCAGGGUGCCAUUCAGCGGAUUGAAGGAAGAGGAGGAAGAGGACGGGGAGGACGAUGAAGAGGAAGAGGAGGAAGGCUUCUUCCAGAAAGUGCUCACACCGCUUCUCUCUUGGCUUUUGAGCAGGCGACUCUGGCUGGGUCCCCAGUGCUCAAAGCUGCCACUGCCGUCCUGUUGCAGGCAGCCUCCCCCCGCCGGGCCGCCGGUGGAAGGAGACGGGUGGCUGAAGAGUUUCCAGCGGAGUCGCAGAAUGUGCUUCACAUCGAAGUCUUUUCGCCCAGAGCCUGACAUGCUUUACGCACAGAAGGCAAAAGGCUGGCAGCUCACGCAGGAUUCUGGAGGCUGGGAAGUUCAAGACCAAUGCACGAGAAUUUGGUCUAAAGAGAAUCUUCUUGCUCUGAACACACAUAGUAGAAGGCAGAAGGGCAAGAGAGAGAACAAAGUCUGUGUCUCCACAUGGCAGAAGAGCAGAGGAGACAGAACCUACUCCUCUAUGGCAACCACCCCAUCAAUGACAAAAAUCCUAGAAGGAUGUAUGUAUAGGAAGUUGAAGUGUUGAGAAGAGAAUGGCUCAGAGUCAAGCGGGAACAAGUUCUAUAUCUGGAUAAAGUGCGAAGGAGCUUAAAUCUGUUGAAACCCAAAAUUUGCCUCCGUUUAAUGGCUUAGUUUCUUCUGUCUAAUGGUAACUGGAAUUUCCCUUUCUAAUUGUGUAUUGAAGAACGAGAACGACUCAUGUUUAAGUGUUAGAUGUAAGUCAUUUCAUAAUUACUCGUGCACUUCAAAAACAACAAAAAUAAAAUCAAAAUCAUAGAUUAUAUGGAAAGCUCAAUUCAAAAUUUGUAAAAUGUAGCAUUUUGUUGCAUUUUAUAGGAAAACAUAGGAUUGUAAUAACAUUAAAUUAUGUAUAUAUUUUUACUCUUCAUUAAAUGAAAU
RNAcentral lists this long non-coding RNA (1129 nucleotides) under Homo sapiens (human). RNAcentral describes it as "HSALNT0373930". The record is from RNAcentral. Lineage: Eukaryota; Metazoa; Chordata; Mammalia; Primates; Hominidae.